CCUUUCAAAAAAUGCAAAUAAAUUUGUGUAAAGAUAGUGUGUGUGGGUUAUCCGUGCUAUAUAAGAAUUAAAGUGUUAUCAAAUGUCUUUCUUCAAAACGGUUGUUUUCGCUAGUGUCGUAUGGAAAUGUGCCGGAUAAAUAAUUAACAUAAUAUGUUUAAUGUUGGAACAAUUAUCUGAUUAAACAGUUGAGAAAGAACAAACAGUGGCGUCUAUUAAUGCGAAAUAUUAUUAUUUGGAAAUGUUAAUUGUUACAUGAAAAGCUGCGUGUUCUUGCGUACCAAUAGCAUCAAUGAGAUAGCCACUUGGGGUUGGUGGUGUGAUUUUGCUGUUUUCUAAGUGUGAAGCCCCAACCAGAGGUAAUAAUAAUGAGUGAAAGAAGAGGAAACUUACUUAGGCUUUGAUGACUGUUACAGCAGGAACAAUAAACAAAUAAUAAUGUAUUUUUUUAUUUAUUAAUGUCUUAUACAAAUAGUUGUUCAGCUGAAAAGCAUUAGCACAGUUUUUAUCAUAUGGGUGUAUGCUUGUUACAGUUAUGAACCUGUGGAGUUUGUAAUGCCAUGGAGACAGUUAUCAGUGGAUUGUCCCAUUGUACCAACUUUCUGAAAUUUGUAGGUAUAAUAUAAAAUGAGUCUGUGAAAAAACUUAAUUGGCUAUGUUUCACAACUCUUAUGAUGGAAAGAGGAAAGUUUAUUAUGCAUGUUUACAAACCCCUUUCUUUGAAACUAUUAAUAAUAAAUCACUACUUAAUAUUA
This is a long non-coding RNA of Zootermopsis nevadensis, 755 nucleotides long. RefSeq lists it as uncharacterized. Lineage: Eukaryota; Metazoa; Arthropoda; Insecta; Blattodea; Termopsidae. The record is from RefSeq and is a predicted model, not a curated record.